ACUAUAGCCAUCGUCAUCGCUCUAUUUGUUUUAGUAUCCAUCCAGUAUAGGCUAUGGUAUAACAUGCUCCUUUGCUGCCCAUAAUGAUGGUUGCGCAAGUACUGAUAACAAAGCACUAGAGUCAUGGCCCCUUGAGAAUGCUUCUAGCAGAACUUAGAGCAGUACUACGCGCAAAGCGUGAUAAGAAUUUACUGCCAACUUCACUACGGGCCUUUUGAGAAUGGAAGACGUCUUUGACGUGUCCGGUCUUGUAAGCCAGUGGGCAGCACUUCUCGGCAACAUCUGUGGCGUCCCUCCACAAAGCAGGACUCACCUUACGGCCACGUCCACGGAUAAUAUCAUCGCCGGACUACGAGAUGCGUCACCUUCGGAGAGGUUGCAGGAGUGCCUGGAGGAGCUGCAGUGGCGUGCUCAAGUCAUCCAAGAACUUGGAUUCGAUGAAUAUCGGGAACUUUUCGUUUCUAGGCAUUACCGUCGCCGCACUGAGAGACCAUGCUCAGGGGUUCUCCGAUAGCCUGUUUGCUAAGGGAAUCACCGGCAUACGUAUCCUCUUCCUUUUACUCACGGUCGUGCGCCAUGUGGUCUACGACUGGAUUCUUUCUCACCGAAGGCAAGACAGCCCAGCAGAGGCGCUCGAAACACAGUAUGCAGAUGAACUGCGCGGAAGCGAACAGGAAGAAAGCAUCUACGUCGAAAGUUUAUCUGAGACGUCAUCAGAGCUGUGGCUAAGCGACGAGUUAUCCGAUGGAAUGGUUCAAUAGGUGCAUCUCGUACGCUGUAAUCUUACGAGCAAUCGAAGGAGUGCUAAGCGCUUUAAAGCACAAUAAAAUUCAGCAUGUGUCGACUCUA
Ornithodoros turicata is the source of this 849-nucleotide RNA transcript. RefSeq lists it as uncharacterized. NCBI's taxonomy places the organism in Eukaryota, Metazoa, Arthropoda, Arachnida, Ixodida, Argasidae. The record is from RefSeq and is a predicted model, not a curated record. The transcript is spliced from 2 exons.